This 101-nucleotide ribosomal RNA is filed under the name Acanthosepion pharaonis. Lineage: Eukaryota; Metazoa; Mollusca; Cephalopoda; Sepiida; Sepiidae. The record is from RNAcentral.
UGACCACAUCACAUUGAAACACCAGUUCUCAUAUGAUCACCAAAGUUAAGCAAUGUUGAGCCUGGUCAGUACCUAGAUAGGUGACUGGUUGCAAAUACCAG